AGUGAACGCUGGCGGUAGGCCUAACACAUGCAAGUCGAACGGCAGCACAGUAAGAGCUUGCUCUUACGGGUGGCGAGUGGCGGACGGGUGAGGAAUACAUCGGAAUCUACUUUUUCGUGGGGGAUAACGUAGGGAAACUUACGCUAAUACCGCAUACGACCUACGGGUGAAAGCAGGGGAUCUUCGGACCUUGCGCGAUUGAAUGAGCCGAUGUCGGAUUAGCUAGUUGGCGGGGUAAAGGCCCACCAAGGCGACGAUCCGUAGCUGGUCUGAGAGGAUGGUCAGCGACACUGGAACUGAGACACGGUCCAGACUCCUACGGGAGGCAGCAGUGGGGAAUAUUGGACAAAGGGCGCAAGCCUUAUCCAGCCAUACCGCGUGGGUGAAGAAGGCCUUCGGGUUGUAAAGCCCUUUUGUUGGGAAAGAAAAGCAGCAGGUUAAUACCCCGCUGUUCUGACGGUACCCAAAGAAUAAGCACCGGCUAACUUCGUG
Molecule: ribosomal RNA, 492 nt
Filed under: uncultured bacterium
Lineage: Bacteria
Description: partial 16S ribosomal RNA
Rfam family: Bacterial small subunit ribosomal RNA
Source: RNAcentral